CCAGAUGUGGUGGAGAAGCAGUGUGGAGAGAGAGGUUAAAAGGCGGCGCAUGAGAGGAGGAGUCAGACAGUCAAGAGAGAACAGUCAAGAGCCCCCAGUGGUGUUGAUGUCAGGCCAAGAACAGGAGUAUGACACAGUAUAACCACUACCCAGCAUGGGAGACGAGUGAAUAGCAGUGCCUGUAAAAGGUCCACAGCAUUCAUGGUGGCCGGAACAACAUGUCCUGCUCUGUGCCUUCAGAGUUUAGUCAACAGAGUAAACGGCUUUAAUCCCAGGAUGACAGAUCUUUUUGGCCCCAAAUUCAAUUUCGGAGAAAUGUUUUGGGGCCCCAUUCCAGUGGGUUCCACCCCACCCCCAGCCCCGGGCAGAGCUUCUAUGAUGACAUAAGCGACAUGGCAUACAGAAGAGCAAAAAUAUAUUGAAUACGCAGGAGUUCUGCCCAGAAAAAAAAGGUGACCAUCCCAAACUACCACCAUUUGCAUGCAGCUUGAAAGGACUUCCAAUUCCAAAGGGUAGGAAAUAGGGACGGAUCCCCAGAUACCUUUCAGUCUCAAGUGAGAGAAACACAUGCUCUGAGGGCUGUGACGGCUGCCAGGGCUCCUGUCAAACAAUCAUGCCAUGAAGCCCUGAGACAAACAAUGGUUUCUUUGGAAAGCUGGAAGCCAAUUAAAAAAGGAGAC
Pogona vitticeps (central bearded dragon) is the source of this 680-nucleotide non-coding RNA. NCBI's taxonomy places the organism in Eukaryota, Metazoa, Chordata, Lepidosauria, Squamata, Agamidae. The record is from RefSeq and is a predicted model, not a curated record.